This 497-nucleotide ribosomal RNA is filed under the name uncultured bacterium. Its description in RNAcentral is "partial 16S ribosomal RNA". It matches the Rfam family "Bacterial small subunit ribosomal RNA", at positions 28 to 507 of the family's 1533-position model. The record is from RNAcentral.
GAUGAACGCUGGCGGCGUGCCUAAUACAUGCAAGUCGAGCGAACAGAUGAGGAGCUUGCUCCUCUGACGUUAGCGGCGGACGGGUGGGUAACACGUGGAUAACCUACCUAUAAGACUGGGAUAACUUCGGGAAACCGGAGCUAAUACCGGAUAAUAUAUUGAACCGCAUGGUUCAAUAGUGAAAGACGGGUUUGCUGUCACUUAUAGAUGGAUCCGCGCCGCAUUAGCUAGUUGGUAAGGUAACGGCUUACCAAGGCAACGAUGCGUAGCCGACCUGAGAGGGUGAUCGGCCACACUGGAACUGAGACACGGUCCAGACUCCUACGGGAGGCAGCAGUAGGGAAUCUUCCGCAAUGGGCGAAAGCCUGACGGAGCAACGCCGCGUGAGUGAUGAAGGUCUUCGGAUCGUAAGACUCUGAUAUUAGGGAAGAACAAAUGUGUAAGUAACUAUGCACGUCUUGACGGUACCUAAUCAGAAAGCCACGGCUAACUACGUG